This 497-nucleotide ribosomal RNA is filed under the name uncultured bacterium. RNAcentral's name for it is "partial 16S ribosomal RNA". It matches the Rfam family "Bacterial small subunit ribosomal RNA", at positions 28 to 507 of the family's 1533-position model. The record is from RNAcentral.
GAUGAACGCUGGCGGCGUGCCUAAUACAUGCAAGUCGAGCGAACGGACGAGAAGCUUGCUUCUCUGAUGUUAGCGGCGGACGGGUGAGUAACACGUGGAUAACCUACCUAUAAGACUGGGAUAACUUCGGGAAACCGGAGCUAAUACCGGAUGAUAUUUUGACCCGCAUGGUUCAAAAGUGAAAGACGGUCUUGCUGUCACUUAUAGAUGGAUCCGCGCUGCAUUAGCUAGUUGGUAAGGUAACGGCUUACCAAGGCAACGAUGCAUAGCCGACCUGAGAGGGAGAUCGCCCACACGGGAGCAGAGACACGGCCCAGACACCUACGGGAGGCAGCAGUAGGGAAUCUUCCGCAAUGGGGGAAAGCCUGACGGAGCAACACCGCGGAAGGGAUGAAGGUCUUCGGAUCGUAAAACUCUGUUAUUAGGGGAGAACAUAUGUGUAAGUAACUGUGCACAUCUUGACGGUACCUAAUCAGAAAGCCACGGCUAACUACGUG